This 296-nucleotide small nuclear RNA is filed under the name Chinchilla lanigera (long-tailed chinchilla). Its description in RNAcentral is "7SK RNA (ENSCLAG00000021781.1)". It matches the Rfam family "7SK RNA". From Rfam's summary of the family: 7SK was discovered as an abundant small nuclear RNA in the mid-70s but a possible function has only recently been suggested. Two independent studies have found that 7SK RNA binds the CDK9/cyclin T complex (known as elongation factor P-TEFb). P-TEFb activates transcription by phosphorylating the C-terminal domain of RNA polymerase II. Lineage: Eukaryota; Metazoa; Chordata; Mammalia; Rodentia; Chinchillidae. The record is from Rfam by way of RNAcentral.
GAAUGUGAGGGCGAUCUGGCUGGCACAUUUGUCACCCCACUGAUCGCCGAGGUUGAUUCAGUUGAUCUGGCUGGCUAGGUGGGUGUCUCCCUCCUCAACACUCCCUCUGGGUCUUUCCCAAAACUGUGCGCUUCGUGGACGAGGGUGACCACCCCUCAUAGAGGAGGACCUUUCCUAGGUCAAGGGUGUAGGAGUAGCUGCUCUCCUGUACUAGAACCUCCAAACAAGCUCUCAAGAAUUAUCUCUCAAUUCUGGAGGAAGAAAUUCAAAGGCUUACAUUUAAAUGAUCCCUAUUU